Molecule: long non-coding RNA, 441 nt
Filed under: Apteryx rowi (Okarito brown kiwi)
Lineage: Eukaryota; Metazoa; Chordata; Aves; Apterygiformes; Apterygidae
Description: lncRNA (ENSARWG00000013702.1)
Source: RNAcentral
UGGGGCAGUGCCGUUGCUAAGCGCCGACGUCUUCUGUGUGCAUACGGACGUUAUCCCCCUUCCCCCUCCCGCAUCUUACGCGUUUUAGUUUGUCAUUAAUGUUUAUGAGGGUUUUUUUUCCUUUGUUUUUAGAGGAUUCGUUUGCUUGAAGUGUAUGCCAGUCGAAACGCAUGCAAUUUACCGUAUCCUUCUUUCCAAGAUUUUUUUUCUGUCAAGGCUGAUCAGGAGCUGAUCCCCCACUAUCAAAUAUCAUGGAAGUUUUUGCUGAUACUGAACUCCUCAAGGAAGACAGAAUUAAACCAAAAGGAGAAGCGCACAUCCUGGCAUGUAUUUGCAGGAGUUCAGACAUUUCCACAUUCUGGAGAAGCAGGAGAGCGUGUAGAGCAAUUUGCAUUUACUGAAUUCAGGAGUAAAGCUUUCUUUUGUGAAGUAACAUCUUGA